This 253-nucleotide ribosomal RNA is filed under the name uncultured bacterium. RNAcentral describes it as "partial 16S ribosomal RNA". It matches the Rfam family "Bacterial small subunit ribosomal RNA", at positions 524 to 776 of the family's 1533-position model. The record is from RNAcentral.
UACGAAGGGGGCUAGCGGUGCUCGGAAUCACUGGGCGUAAAGCGCACGUAGGCGGAUUUCUAAGUCAGGGGUGAAAUCCUGGAGCUCAACUCCAGAACUGCCUUUGAUACUGGAAAUCUCGAGUUCGGGAGAGGUGAGUGGAACUGCGAGUGUAGAGGUGAAAUUCGUAGAUAUUCGCAAGAACACCAGUGGCGAAGGCGGCUCACUGGCCCGAUACUGACGCUGAGGUGCGAAAGCGUGGGGAGCAAACAGG